CCCUUAGAUGUCCUGGGCUGCACGCGCGCUACACUGAUGUGUCCAGUAAGCACCUAACCUAUUCCGAGAGGAGCGGGUAACCUUAGCAAAGCACAUCGUGAUGGGGAUAGAUUAUUGCAAUUAUUAGUCUUGAACGAGGAAUUCCUAGUAAGCACAAGUCAUCAGCUUGUGUUGAUUACGUCCCUGCCCUUUGUACACACCGCCCGUCGCUCCUACCGAUUGAAUGUUCCGGUGAGCUCUUCGGACUGCGCGGUCUGCAGCUUCUGCGUUCCGUGCGGAAAGUUGUGCAAACCUUAACAUUUAGAGGAAGGAGAAGUCGUAACA
RNAcentral lists this ribosomal RNA (324 nucleotides) under uncultured eukaryote. Its description in RNAcentral is "partial 18S ribosomal RNA". It matches the Rfam family "Eukaryotic small subunit ribosomal RNA", at positions 1470 to 1796 of the family's 1831-position model. The record is from RNAcentral.